RNAcentral lists this ribosomal RNA (406 nucleotides) under uncultured bacterium. RNAcentral's name for it is "partial 16S ribosomal RNA". It matches the Rfam family "Bacterial small subunit ribosomal RNA", at positions 30 to 526 of the family's 1533-position model. The record is from RNAcentral.
AUUGAACGCUGGCGGCAGGCCUUACACAUGCAAGUCGAACGAGUGGCGGAAGGGUUAGUAAUGUCUGGGAAACUGCCCGAUGGAGGGGGAUAACUACUGGAAACGGUUGCUAAUACCGCAUAUAAUGGGAUGUGCCCAGAUGGGAUUAGCUAGGUGGUGGGGUAACGGCUCACCUAGGCGACGAUCCCUAGCUGGUCUGAGAGGAUGACCAGCCACACUGGGACUGAGACACGGUCCAGACUCCUACGGGAGGCAGCAGUGGGGAAUAUGGCACAAUGGGCGCAAGCCUGAUGCAGCCAUGCCGCGUGUAUGAAGAAGGCCUUCGGGUUGUAAAGUACUUUCGGCAAGGAAGCGGUACUCGCAGAAGAAGCACCGGCUAACUCCGUGCCAGCAGCCGCGGUAAUUC